GGAGAACGUGCCCUUAGGCGGAGGAUAAUCUCGGGAAAUUGAGGAUAAUACUCCAUAGGUCACGGGGUCUGGAACGACCCGUGGCCGAAAGCCCCGGCGCCUAAGGAUCGCUCUGCGGCUUAUCAGGUCGUAGUGGGUGUAACGUACCCCCUAGCCGACGACGAGUAUGGGCCUUGAGAGAGGGAGCCCAGAGUUGGAUUCUGAGACACGAAUCCAGGCCCUACGGGGCGCAGCAGUCGCGAAAACUUCACACUGGGGGCAACCCCGAUGAGGGAAUUCCUAGUGCCAGGGCCUCUGGUCCUGGCUUUUCUCCGGCGUAGACGACCGGAGGAAUAAGGGCUGGGUAAGACGGGUGCCAGCCGCCGCGGUAAUACCUGCAGCCCGAGUGGUGGUCGAUUUUAUUGAGUCUAAAACGUUCGUAGCCGGCCCGGUAAAUCCCUGGGUAAAUCGGGAAGCUCAACUUCCCGAAUUCCGGGGAGACUGCCGGGCUUGGGACCGGGAGAGGCUAGAGGUACUUCUGGGGUAGGGGUAAAAUCCUGUAAUCCUGGAAGGACCACCGGUGGCGAAGGCGUCUAGCUAGAACGGAUCCGACGGUGAGGGACGAAGCCCUGGGUCGCAAACGGGAUUAGAUACCCCGGUAGUCCAGGGUGUAAACGCUGCAGACUUGGUGUUGGGGGCCCUUCGGGGGCGUCCAGUGCCGGAGAGAAGUUGUUAAGUCUGCUACUUGGGGAGUACGUCCGCAAGGAUGAAACUUAA
Molecule: ribosomal RNA, 756 nt
Filed under: uncultured archaeon
Lineage: Archaea
Description: bacterial SSU rRNA
Rfam family: Archaeal small subunit ribosomal RNA
Source: RNAcentral